This 253-nucleotide ribosomal RNA is filed under the name uncultured bacterium. RNAcentral's name for it is "partial 16S ribosomal RNA". It matches the Rfam family "Bacterial small subunit ribosomal RNA", at positions 524 to 776 of the family's 1533-position model. The record is from RNAcentral.
UACGUAGGUGGCAAGCGUUGUCCGGAUUUACUGGGUGUAAAGGGCGUGUAGCCGGGCUGAUAAGUCAGAUGUGAAAUCCGGGGGCUCAACCCCCGAACUGCAUUUGAAACUGUUGGUCUUGAGUAUCGGAGAGGCAGGCGGAAUUCCUAGUGUAGCGGUGAAAUGCGUAGAUAUUAGGAGGAACACCAGUGGCGAAGGCGGCCUGCUGGACGACAACUGACGGUGAGGCGCGAAAGCGUGGGGAGCAAACAGG